RNAcentral lists this ribosomal RNA (253 nucleotides) under uncultured Rikenellaceae bacterium. RNAcentral's name for it is "partial 16S ribosomal RNA". It matches the Rfam family "Bacterial small subunit ribosomal RNA", at positions 524 to 776 of the family's 1533-position model. Lineage: Bacteria; Pseudomonadati; Bacteroidota; Bacteroidia; Bacteroidales; Rikenellaceae. The record is from RNAcentral.
UACGGAGGAUGCGAGCGUUAUCCGGAUUUAUUGGGUUUAAAGGGUGCGUAGGCGGUUUUAUAAGUUAGAGGUGAAAUCCCGAGGCUCAACUUCGGAAUUGCCUCUGAUACUGUUCGGCUAGAGAGUAGUUGCGGUAGGCGGAAUGUAUGGUGUAGCGGUGAAAUGCUUAGAGAUCAUACAGAACACCGAUUGCGAAGGCAUCUGACGAAUCGGAGAUUGACGCUGAUGCACGAAAGCGUGGGUAUCGAACAGG